Molecule: long non-coding RNA, 958 nt
Organism: Daucus carota subsp. sativus
Lineage: Eukaryota; Viridiplantae; Streptophyta; Magnoliopsida; Apiales; Apiaceae
Exons: 5
Source: RefSeq, a predicted model, not a curated record
UGCAGUAUCUGGUUCUUUUUUUUUGCUUUAGUUGCUCAUAUAAAAGAAAAGCAUAUCGGGUAGUUGGAGAUGAGUUUUUGCUUUCUAGUUAUACUUCUGUUACGUUGGAAUUUAUACAAUAUUGCAUGCAGUGUAAUGCUAUGCAACACACUCAAUUUGAUUUGCGUAAACAAGUCCUACAGAAAAAUAUUUGUUGAUGAUAUGAUUUUGGUAUAAAUUAAAAUGGCUUCUUGUGGGCAAAUGGUAUAUUUUUUUGCCCACUUGGUUUUAUUUGUAAAUGGUUUGUGACUUUGUGUUAUGCAUGAGCAGAAUCAACGGGGACACCUUAUCUAUUUCUUUUUAUUUAAAAGGUAGUGGUGGAAGUAUUAUAAAGUGGAACACCACAUUAUGGUCGUGGAUCAGCUCGAAGCAUAUAUAUAACCCGUGACUCGGGGGACAAUGGAAGGCGACAUAUUAGUUUUACAUUCUUCCCAGUAUGCAGUUACAUACAGCAGUUAAGAAAGCUCAUCUUGGCAUAGUUACAUACCUGAUGUUUUCACAUGAUUCAAGGGCUCUUUUGUCAACAUCUUCUGAUUCAAGUGCAAGAGUGACACUGAUAAGAAGGAAAGAGGAUUAAGCUUGUGGGCCAUCUUAUUCAUGAUAUUGCUAGUGAUAGCCGUGUAUUACACAAAAUUGGCGGAAUUGCUUUCGUAUAGCAAUCCUACUGCUUGAAAAUGUGUGGAAUAUCUUCCAAGUGGAUCAUGAUAUUUUAAUUCUUCUGUCUUUGAAUUUCAACAAUAUAUUGGAUUUUGUAAUAGAGGAACGCUAUAAAUUAUUUUUAAGUCGUGGAUGAGUGAUGCAAACUUGGAUCAGCGAGUGCUGUUUCAUUUUAUUAUUUUUUUUAAUUCUGGUUAUAGCAAUGGUUAAUUGUAAGCUCUGUACCUGGACAAAUUAGUGAAUGGUGCAUAUAUGUAUUGCU